RNAcentral lists this ribosomal RNA (497 nucleotides) under uncultured bacterium. Its description in RNAcentral is "partial 16S ribosomal RNA". It matches the Rfam family "Bacterial small subunit ribosomal RNA", at positions 28 to 507 of the family's 1533-position model. The record is from RNAcentral.
GAUGAACGCUGGCGGCGUGCCUAAUACAUGCAAGUCGAGCGAACGGACGAGAAGCCUGCUUCUCUGAUGUUAGCGGCGGACGGGUGAGUAACACGUGGAUAACCUACCUAUAAGACUGGGAUAACUUCGGGAAACCGGAGCUAAUACCGGUUAAUAUUUUGAACCGCAUGGUUCAAAAGUGAAAGACGGUCUUGCUGUCACUUAUAGAUGGAUCCGCGCUGCAUUAGCUAGUUGGUAAGGUAACGGCUUACCAAGGCAACGAUGCAUAGCCGACCUGAGAGGGUGAUCAGCCACACUGGAACGGAGACACGGUCCAGACUCCUACGGGAGGCAGCAGUAGGGAAUCUUCCGCAAUGGGCGAAAGCCUGACGGAGCAACGCCGCGUGAGUGAUGAAGGUCUUCGGAUCGUAAAACUCUGUUAUUAGGGAAGAACAAAUGUGUAAGUAACGGUGCACAUCUUGACGGUACCUAAUCAGAAAGCCACGGCUAACUACGUG